GCCUCGGUGGUGAAAUUGGUAGACACGCCAGACUCAAAAUCUGGUAAGCUUGCUUGUGUCGGUUCGAGUCCGACCCGGGGUACCA
This 85-nucleotide transfer RNA is filed under the name Sulfurovum sp. RNAcentral describes it as "tRNA-Leu". It matches the Rfam family "tRNA". From Rfam's summary of the family: Transfer RNA (tRNA) molecules are approximately 80 nucleotides in length. Their secondary structure includes four short double-helical elements and three loops (D, anti-codon, and T loops). The record is from RNAcentral. RNAcentral also lists the same sequence under 1 other name. Lineage: Bacteria; Pseudomonadati; Campylobacterota; Epsilonproteobacteria; Campylobacterales; Sulfurovaceae.